CCUAGGGUGGCAGCAGUGGGGAAUAUUGGGCAAUGGAGGCAACUCUGACCCAGCAACGCCGCGUGAAUGAUGAAGGUCUUCGGAUUGUAAAGUUCCUUUCUUAGGGAAGAAGAAAGUGACGGUACCUUAGGAAUAAGCCUCGGCUAACUACGUGCCAGCAGCCGCGGUAAUACGUAGGAGGCAAGCGUUAUCCGGAAUGACUGGGCGUAAAGGGUGCGUAGGUGGUUUGACAAGUUAGUAGCGCAACUCCGGGGCUCAACUUCGGAAGUACAACUAAAACUGUGGGACUUGAGUGCAGGAGGGGAGAGCGGAAUUCCUAGUGUAGCGGUGGAAUGCGUAGAUAUAAGGAGGAACACCAGUGGCGAAGGCGGAUCGCUAGACUGUAACUGACACUGAGGCACGAAAGCGUGGGGAGCAAACAGGAUUAGAUACCCUUGUAGUC
RNAcentral lists this ribosomal RNA (442 nucleotides) under uncultured bacterium. Its description in RNAcentral is "partial 16S ribosomal RNA". It matches the Rfam family "Bacterial small subunit ribosomal RNA", at positions 338 to 795 of the family's 1533-position model. The record is from RNAcentral.